This is a long non-coding RNA of Rosa chinensis, 402 nucleotides long. RefSeq lists it as uncharacterized. Lineage: Eukaryota; Viridiplantae; Streptophyta; Magnoliopsida; Rosales; Rosaceae. The transcript is spliced from 3 exons. The record is from RefSeq and is a predicted model, not a curated record.
GAGAGAUCAUGGAUCUUUGGGAUCAGAUUUCCACAAAUCUUCGAACCAGUUACUAUCAAAGAGCUUGAUUACUACACAUAUCCAAUGAUCAACAAUAGACUCAUUGUGCUAUAAAGAUUGUCAGCAAUACAGACUAUAAAAACACAGGCAAAGUAUAUGGGCAAAGUUUCUUGAUGCAAGUUAGAAUCCGGCACCAUGGGCUGAAGAACCAACAACUAAAAUAUUGGCUGAAGAACCUGCAAUAUCAGGAGGUGGGAAUAUUGUGUGGAAUGUGAAGAUUAUCUUGAUGAGUGGGAUAAGCAAGAAUGUUUCAGAGGAGCUGUCAUAUGAAAGAAGCUCUGAUGAUCACAUGCCUCAUAUCUACAAUAUCAUUAGGUUUGCCAUUCUUAAAAACACUGCUCA